RNAcentral lists this ribosomal RNA (552 nucleotides) under uncultured bacterium. RNAcentral's name for it is "partial 16S ribosomal RNA". It matches the Rfam family "Bacterial small subunit ribosomal RNA", at positions 355 to 905 of the family's 1533-position model. The record is from RNAcentral.
UAAGGAAUAUUGGUCAAUGGACGCAAGUCUGAACCAGCCAUGCCGCGUGCAGGAAGACGGCCCUACGGGUUGUAAACUGCUUUUGUACCGGAAUAAACCUUUUCACGUGUGAGAAGCUGAAUGUACGGUAAGAAUAAGGAUCGGCUAACUCCGUGCCAGCAGCCGCGGUAAUACGGAGGAUCCAAGCGUUAUCCGGAUUUAUUGGGUUUAAAGGGUGCGUAGGUGGCCUAUUAAGUCAGGGGUGAAAGACGGUAGCUUAACUAUCGCAGUGCCUUUGAUACUGAUGGGCUUGAAUACACUUGAGGUAGGCGGAAUGUGACAAGUAGCGGUGAAAUGCAUAGAUAUGUCACAGAACACCAAUUGCGAAGGCAGCUUACUAAAGUGUUAUUGACACUGAGGCACGAAAGCGUGGGGAUCAAACAGGAUUAGAUAGCCCUGGUAGUCCACGCCCUAAACGAUGAAUACUCGAUGUUGGCGAUAUACGGUCAGCGUCUAAGCGAAAGCGUUAAGUAUUCCACCUGGGGAGUACGCCCGCAAGGGUGAAAGCUCAAA